RNAcentral lists this transfer RNA (49 nucleotides) under Pseudomonas sp. RNAcentral's name for it is "tRNA-Phe". It matches the Rfam family "tRNA", at positions 1 to 47 of the family's 71-position model. From Rfam's summary of the family: Transfer RNA (tRNA) molecules are approximately 80 nucleotides in length. Their secondary structure includes four short double-helical elements and three loops (D, anti-codon, and T loops). Further hydrogen bonds mediate the characteristic L-shaped molecular structure. tRNAs have two regions of fundamental functional importance: the anti-codon, which is responsible for specific mRNA codon recognition, and the 3' end, to which the tRNAs corresponding amino acid is attached (by aminoacyl-tRNA synthetases). tRNAs cope with the degeneracy of the genetic code in two manners: having more than one tRNA (with a specific anti-codon) for a particular amino acid; and 'wobble' base-pairing, i.e. permitting non-standard base-pairing at the 3rd anti-codon position. The record is from RNAcentral. Lineage: Bacteria; Pseudomonadati; Pseudomonadota; Gammaproteobacteria; Pseudomonadales; Pseudomonadaceae.
GCCCGGGUAGCUCAGUUGGUAGAGCAGGGGAUUGAAAAUCCCCGUGUCG